Molecule: unclassified non-coding RNA, 341 nt
Filed under: soil metagenome
Description: partial contains 5.8S ribosomal RNA, internal transcribed spacer 2, and large subunit ribosomal RNA
Rfam family: 5.8S ribosomal RNA (bases 1-120)
Source: RNAcentral
GAUGAAGAACGCAGCGAAAUGCGAUAAGUAGUGUGAAUUGCAAAAUUCAGUGAAUCAUCGAAUCUUUGAACGCACAUUGCGCCCUUUGGUAUUCCAAAGGGCAUGCCUGUUCGAGCGUCAUUUGUACCCUCAAGCUUUGCUUGGUGUUGGGCGUCUUGUCUCUAGCUUUGCUGGAGACUCGCCUUAAAGUAAUUGGCAGCCGGCCUACUGGUUUCGGAGCGCAGCACAAGUCGCACUCUCUAUCAGCAAAGGUCUAGCAUCCAUUAAGCCUUUUUUUCAACUUUUGACCUCGGAUCAGGUAGGGAUACCCGCUGAACUUAAGCAUAUCAAUAAGCGGAGGA